RNAcentral lists this transfer RNA (63 nucleotides) under Zootermopsis angusticollis (Pacific dampwood termite). Its description in RNAcentral is "tRNA-Gly". RNAcentral also lists the same sequence under 1 other name. The record is from RNAcentral. Lineage: Eukaryota; Metazoa; Arthropoda; Insecta; Blattodea; Termopsidae.
AUUUAUCUAAUAUAAAAAGUAUACUUGACUUCCAAUCAAGAAGUUCAAAAAAUGAGAUAAAUA